RNAcentral lists this non-coding RNA (49 nucleotides) under unclassified sequences. Its description in RNAcentral is "eL15-Euryarchaeota ribosomal protein leader". It matches the Rfam family "eL15-Euryarchaeota ribosomal protein leader". The record is from RNAcentral.
CGGACAACAUGUCCGUUGGGAUGUGGCCCCACGUGGGCUGAACCGUAAG